This 261-nucleotide ribosomal RNA is filed under the name uncultured archaeon. RNAcentral's name for it is "partial 16S ribosomal RNA". It matches the Rfam family "Archaeal small subunit ribosomal RNA", at positions 748 to 1009 of the family's 1478-position model. The record is from RNAcentral.
CAGCCGUAAACUAUGCGCGUUAGGUGUAUCGGUGACCACGAGUCACCGAGGUGCCGAAGGGAAACCGUGAAACGUGCCGCCUGGGAAGUACGGUCGCAAGGCUGAAACUUAAAGGAAUUGGCGGGGGAGCACCACAACAGGUGGAGCCUGCGGUUUAAUUGGACUCAACGCCGGGAAGCUCACCGGAUAAGACAGCAGAAUGAUUGCCGGGCUGAAGACUCUGCAUGACUAGCUGAGAGGAGGUGCAUGGCGUAGACGUCU